GGAGGAAGGAGUGAAGCCUGACCUUGUGACAUAUAAUACAUUGAUAUAUGGAUUGUCUAAGUCGGGAAGGGUGAAAGAUGCUAAGAAGUUUUUGAAUGUUAUGAUGGAGGAAGGCCAUGUUCCAGAUGCAGUCACGUAUACUUCGUUAAUGAAUGGGAUGUGUAGAGAAGCAGAUCCAUUAGGGGCGGUGGCUUUGUUGGAGAAAAUGGAAG
RNAcentral lists this unclassified non-coding RNA (212 nucleotides) under Hevea brasiliensis (rubber tree). Lineage: Eukaryota; Viridiplantae; Streptophyta; Magnoliopsida; Malpighiales; Euphorbiaceae. The record is from RNAcentral.